This 583-nucleotide ribosomal RNA is filed under the name bacterium. RNAcentral's name for it is "bacterial SSU rRNA". It matches the Rfam family "Bacterial small subunit ribosomal RNA", at positions 44 to 622 of the family's 1533-position model. The record is from RNAcentral.
GGGCUUAACACAUGCAAGUCGAGCGGUAACAGAAAGUAGCUUGCUACUUUGCUGACGAGCGGCGGACGGGUGAGUAAUGCUUGGGAACAUGCCUUGAGGUGGGGGACAACAGUUGGAAACGACUGCUAAUACCGCAUAAUGUCUACGGACCAAAGGGGGCUUCGGCUCUCGCCUUUAGAUUGGCCCAAGUGGGAUUAGCUAGUUGGUGAGGUAAUGGCUCACCAAGGCAACGAUCCCUAGCUGGUUUGAGAGGAUGAUCAGCCACACUGGAACUGAGACACGGUCCAGACUCCUACGGGAGGCAGCAGUGGGGAAUAUUGCACAAUGGGCGAAAGCCUGAUGCAGCCAUGCCGCGUGUGUGAAGAAGGCCUUCGGGUUGUAAAGCACUUUCAGUCAGGAGGAAAGGGUGUGAGUUAAUACCUCACAUCUGUGACGUUACUGACAGAAGAAGCACCGGCUAACUCCGUGCCAGCAGCCGCGGUAAUACGGAGGGUGCGAGCGUUAAUCGGAAUUACUGGGCGUAAAGCGUACGCAGGCGGUUUGUUAAGCGAGAUGUGAAAGCCCCGGGCUCAACCUGGGAACU